AUGUCAUCGACUGGAAAAGAGCUUUUUGUACGAGUGUUUCAGCACAUUCAAGCACUGUGGUGGACAUUCGGUGGAGGAACCAAACUGCUGAUCUCAACUGGUCCCCCAGUGAAGCCCUCAGUGUCUCUGCUCGGGUCCUCUUCUCUGCAGAGCUCUGGAGACUCGGCCGCACUGCUCUGCCUGCUCAGCUCUUACUCUCCACAGGGGGCGCAGGUGAAGUGGACACGGGACGGCUCUGAGCUCAGCGAGGGGGUGACCAGUGCAGAGAGCCAGCAGGACGGCCGCUACAGCCUCACCAGCGUCCUGGAGCUCAAUAAAGAAGACUGGGAAGAGCGAGAGCGCUACGCCUGCAGAGUAUCACAUGCUGGAGGUGAUCAGGUGGUCCCGUUCCCCAAGUGCUAAUCUGUGUGUGUGUGUGUGUGUGUGUGUGUCAAUAAAGCCUCUUGUUCUUCUGCUCCA
This is a non-coding RNA of Danio aesculapii, 459 nucleotides long. The record is from the annotation of a RefSeq genome assembly. Lineage: Eukaryota; Metazoa; Chordata; Actinopteri; Cypriniformes; Danionidae.